ACGGUAGUAACACGUGGGUGAUCUGCCCUGCACUCUGGGAUAAGCCUGGGAAACUGGGUCUAAUACCGGAUAGGACCAUGCUUUAGUGUGUGUGGUGGAAAGUUUUUCGGUGUAGGAUGAGCCCGCGGCCUAUCAGCUUGUUGGUGGGGUAAUGGCCUACCAAGGCGGCGACGGGUAGCCGGACUGAGAGGUUGGUCGGCCACAUUGGGACUGAGAUACGGCCCAG
Molecule: ribosomal RNA, 226 nt
Filed under: uncultured Actinomycetales bacterium
Lineage: Bacteria; Bacillati; Actinomycetota; Actinomycetes; Actinomycetales
Description: partial 16S ribosomal RNA
Rfam family: Bacterial small subunit ribosomal RNA
Source: RNAcentral